CGCGUAGGUGGCCAAUUAAGUCAAAUGUGAAAUCCCCGAGCUUAACUUGGGAAUUGCAUUCGAUACUGGUUGGCUAGAGUAUGGGAGAGGAUGGUAGAAUUCCAGGUGUAGCGGUGAAAUGCGUAGAGAUCUGGAGGAAUACCGAUGGCGAAGGCAGCCAUCUGGCCUAAUACUGACACCUGAGGUGCGAAAGCAUGGGGAGCAAACA
RNAcentral lists this ribosomal RNA (208 nucleotides) under uncultured Acinetobacter sp. Its description in RNAcentral is "partial 16S ribosomal RNA". It matches the Rfam family "Bacterial small subunit ribosomal RNA", at positions 568 to 774 of the family's 1533-position model. Lineage: Bacteria; Pseudomonadati; Pseudomonadota; Gammaproteobacteria; Moraxellales; Moraxellaceae. The record is from RNAcentral.